This is a long non-coding RNA of Gavialis gangeticus (Gharial), 463 nucleotides long. RefSeq lists it as uncharacterized. Lineage: Eukaryota; Metazoa; Chordata; Crocodylia; Gavialidae. The record is from RefSeq and is a predicted model, not a curated record. The transcript is spliced from 4 exons.
AGCAGUUACUGACCUGCUCAGGAUCCGAAGCUGUGAAAUGACCUGAAUGAGAAGAUAAUGUAAGGCAGCCUAGAAGCUCCUUGUGCAGCUAUACUUCCUGGAGAGACUGUUUCCAGAGGGACUUACUACUUGUCGCACAAACUUAAUGCAUGGAGCCUUGCAAAGGCAUUAGCAAAACUGUUAAUUAUUUACUCUGAACCAAAGAAGAGCAUCUAAUUUAUCAGCUUCCUAGAGAGCAUGAGGUACCAUUGGGGUUUUGAUGAAGACAUGCAAUCUGUCUUUGAGAAGGAUAACACUUGGGGUCUCAUCUCUUGCUUAGACUACUCCAAAUAAACUGCUUGACUAUAUUUCUGUGAAAAAGUACAAGUUUGAAAAUGUGCCUUCAAAUAUUCUCAUAAUGCCCUUUUCACUUGGCAAUAAUGCACCUGAAGAAGAAUAAACAUUUUUGUUUCCUUAGAACCUU